RNAcentral lists this long non-coding RNA (2767 nucleotides) under Equus asinus (donkey). RNAcentral describes it as "lncRNA (ENSEASG00005035301.1)". Lineage: Eukaryota; Metazoa; Chordata; Mammalia; Perissodactyla; Equidae. The record is from RNAcentral.
GGAAAUCUUAGAUUUUGUUAUAGUCUUGAACUGGAGAAGGCCUUUCUAAACAUGAAACAAAGCAUAUAAACCACAGAGGAAAGAUUGGCAAAUUUGACUAUUUGAAAAUUAAAAUCUCUCUAUAGAGACAUAUAUAGAUAUAGAUAUAUAAAUAUAUAGAUAUCAAAGCCCAAAAGACAAAACCAAGGAAAACCUUCACAGUCUGUGUAAAAGAUAAUUUCCUUAAAAUACAAAGAUGCCUUAAAAAUCAAAAAGAAAAUGACAAAACAACAAAAAAAGAAAACAAAAAGCACAGCCUUUUUCUAUUAGAAAAAAUGGGAUAAGUUGAGAAAUAGAAAUGGUAAGGAAGCAUAAAAAGAUGCUCAACCUCAGAGUUUAACAGUACAAAUUAAAACAAGAGACUGUUUUAUCUCUGAUGUGGUUGAAACAGCAAGGAUACAGGUCAUGAACGUCAAGUAGGCAAGAGUCAUAUCUUGCAGAGUCUCUUAGGCCACAAGUUUUAUUUUAAGUGUGAUAGGACAGAAUUGUAGGCUGUUAAGCUGGAGAAUGAGAUAACCCAAUUUCUGUUUUAAUAGCAUCACAAAAAUCACUCUGACUAUUAUGUGUAGACGUGAACAGGGACAAAGUGGAAGCUAGAAGACGGACGGUUGCAAUCAUUCGAAUGAAAGAUGGUGGUAGAUUAGGUACUGGCAGUGGAAGUGGUGAGAAGGCGUCAAAUCUGAGUCCUAUUUUGAAAGAAGAGUCCACGAGAUUUGCUGAUAUAUUGGAUGUAUGGUGUGAGAGAAAGAGAAGAGUCAAGGAUAAUUCCAAGAUUUUGGCGCUAAACAACUGGCAGGUUUGGAAGGUGCCAUUAGCUGAGUUGGCGAAGAGAGGGAAAGGAGAACAUUUCAGAGGGAGAAAUUUUAAAAGUCCUCGAGCUGCUUGCUUUACAUGCUAAUAAAGAUAUUAAGCAGUUAAUUGGAUAUGGGAGUUUUGAUUUCAAGAGAGAAGUUGGGACAAGGAUUAUAUACUUGCUGUAUUGCAUUUUUAUUUUCAUUCAUCUCAAAGUAUUUUCUAACUUCCUCUGUGAUUUCUUUGACCCGUUGGUUGUUUAAGGGUGUCUUGUUAAAUUUCCAAGUAUUUGUUAGUUUUCCGUCUCUGAUUGGUUUCUGGUUUCAUCCCUUUGUGGUCAGAAAAGAUACUUUGUAUGAUUUCCAUAUUUUUAAAUUUACUGACUUGUUCUGUGGGCUCAUGUAUGAUUUAUCCUGGAGGAUGUUCCAUGUGCACUCAAGAAGAAAGAGUAUUCUGCUGUUGUUGGGUACAAUGUUCUAUAUCUGUCUGUUUGGUCUGGUUGGUUUAUAGUGUUGUUCAAGUCUUCUCCUUCCUUAUUGACCUUCUGUCUAGAUGUUCUAUCCAGUAUUGAAAGUAGGGUAUUGAAGUCUCAAAUUACUAUUGUCUAUUUCUCCCUUCAAUUCUGUCAAUGUUUGCUUCAGAUAUUUUGGGGGCUCUGUUGUUUGGUGCAUAUAUGUUUAUAGUUCUUAUAUCUCUUGAGGAAUUGACAGAACUAUACAUUUGGGUGUUAGCAGUGUAUACCUGGUAUUAAAACUAUGAAACUGGAUAAGAUCAUCUGUGAUGUGAAUGACGGGAGAAGAGAAGAAAGCCCAGGACUAAGCACUGGGGACCUUCCAAGAUCUAGAAGUUGGGAAGAGGAGAAGGAAUUGACAAAGGAGAUUGAGGAGGAGUGGCCAGUGAAGUAGAAGGAAAAUCAGGAGUGUGGUUUGUCAGCUAAGUGAAGAAAGCGAGGCUGGUGAUGAGUCAACGUAAUAUUCAUGAAUUGGAGUUCAUGGCUCAAAUGUGGAUAAUCAUAGAGUUCUCCAGGAAAACUAGAAUUUGGCAUGAAGACUGGCAUAGGUCAGAACCCGGUGGGGCAUAUUGUCGAGAGUGCCUCAAAACCCAAUGGACGGCAACAGAAACAACUGACUUCAACCCAGUGGUACCAAGCCAUCAUUCUGAUAGACCUUUAGGACAAUUUUGUCCAUCUGGGGAGGAAAUCUGAGAACUAAAGCGAAACUGGUUUUUUGGGGAGAAGGCUAAAGAACCAGGUUUGGAGAAGUGCAAGAAGGAGGACAGUUCUGGAGAGCUUGACAGCAGGAGUCAUCGCAGGAAGAGUGCAAGAAGGACCUGGUGACCCAGCAAUUCCUCUCCUUGCUAUAUAUGAGAGAAAUGAAAAUAUAUAUUCUCAUAAACCAAAAGGCGGGAACAACUGACAAACAGAUAAGUAAAAUAUAGUAUAUCCACACAAUGGAAUAUGAUUCGGCAAUAAAAAGAAAUGAGGUACCAAUACAUGCUAUAACAUGGAUGAACUUUGAAAACAUUACGCUAAGUGAAAGAAGCUGGACACAAAAGACCGUGUGUUGUAUGAUUCCAUUUAUACGAAAUGUUCAAAACAGGCAAAUCUCUGGAGACAGAGAAUAAAUUAGUGGUUGCCUGGGGAUGGAGGAGUGACUGAUACAGGAUAUAGGGCCUCUUGCUGGGGUGAUAAAAACUUAAAAUAGAUUGUGGUGAUGGUUGCACAACUCUGCGAGUAUACUAAAAACCAUUGAAUAGUGCAAUUCACAUGGCUGGAUUGUAUGGUGUGUGAAUUAUGCCUCAAUAAAGCUGUUAUUAAAACAAAACAAAACAAAACGAAAGAAUGACCUGGCUUUAAGAGACUGUCCUUCCCCUCUGCGUGUCAGGCUCAUGAGGAGGCUGAGUCCUUUGCAAGUGACAAGAUAAAAGGUAAUUUUUG